Long non-coding RNA from Canis lupus familiaris (dog), 1961 nucleotides. RefSeq lists it as uncharacterized. The record is from RefSeq and is a predicted model, not a curated record. Lineage: Eukaryota; Metazoa; Chordata; Mammalia; Carnivora; Canidae. The transcript is spliced from 3 exons.
CUCGGGGGGGGGGGGGGGGGGAACGACCAGAGGGUUUGUGGGUCUCUCUCUCCCAGCGGCAAGGCCCGCCUCCUGUUUCUCCAGGGGGACAGUUCCAGGAGGGGCUAAAGUCUGAAAACCCUCGAUUGUCUCGGGACCGUAGGACAUAGGAGUGGACGACCUCCCCAGAUGUGUCGGGCAACCCUCCCAACAAAGACGCUGCUCCCCUACUAAACAGCGGAGGGGCUUCGGCAUCUAGGACUUCAGCCACGAGCCCUUGAUCCUGUCCCUACUCCUCCCUGCACAUCGAGCCACGGCCCGACCCAAGCGGGCCUCCGGACAGCGCUGCCAGCUGUUCGCGGACGUUCAAACGAAGUGAAGGCGUCGACGGGCAAGUGGUCCACGUCCUCCCGGAGCCGAGAGCGUCCUGGGGUCAAAGUGGAAGCAGCAGGACAAGCCAGAAAAGCGUGCUUAGCGGGAAAACCCCAACUGCACCUUCUUUCCACACCUGCUUAUACGCCAAGAAAGGAAGAAAUAAAGAUUCUGGGCAGGCGGGGCCGGUUCUUAUCAUUCCACAUCGGCAAGAACUGCAGGCAGCGACAUGGAGGCGCCAUGGUCGUUCGCAAGGUGCCCGAGGACCCCCGGGGGCGAAGGCUCUGGAGAAGCUGCUGACGUCUUAUCUGUCAUCGGGGCCUUGGCAGGUUCCUGCGCAGCCCGGUGUCUUGCAAAUGGAACUGGAGGGAACUGGUUCGCCUUGGAUGCGACAUGCGUGCCAGACGUCGGGUUGCCCCGCGCGGGUGGCCUGUCGUGUGUCGUGAGCCGUGCCGGUCCCCUUGGCUGCUCGGGUCACUGCCCCUCCAGGCGGCGCCGCCGUCCCCUCUGAGUGCUCUUCUGUCCCCUAACCUUGUGCUUGGAGGCCAGGAGACAUAGACUAGGGCAGCUCACGGGUCUGCCGGUCAAGGCCGCCACGCGCCCCAGCUGUUAUUGGUCGCACCGUCCCAGCCACCACCUGGAUGGGGAUGCCGGCAUGCAGCGGGCGCUUCGCGGGGACGGGCCCCCUCUGGGCUUCACGGCGCCGAGAAUGGGCCUUGGCUGCAUGCAAAGGCCGGCCGCUUGGCCCGGGGAGCGCCACCCUGGCCACGGGGACUGCCAUCAGGGCCCCGGGGUGCACACACUGCUCGAGCUGCGUCCCAGGGCCCGACAGCCGCAGCAGCGCAGGUGAGUGCUCCCAGUGGCCGCCGCCUCUGCUCCUCGGCACCCACCGGGUCCCUGUCAGCCUCUGAAACACCAGCUGGUGGCCCAGGAUGACCCAGGCCCCCACCCGCUCGGUGGCGGCUCAGCCCAGGGGACUCUGGGUUCUCAGGAACCCCCAGCGAGGCCCCUUUUUCCAUUAGUGACUUAUUAUACUUUUUUAAGUGUGUGUGGGGGAGACCUUCACUCUCGCCUUGUCCAUGUCAACGUCCACGUGUGAGCUCCUGAUGUCGGUCACGACUUUUUUCCUCCCUCCGUGGGAGCGGAGACAGGGAGGAGGUAGGUGAGCCUGACUUUUAUCAGCAUGUCCUUAGAGGAAACACGAGGGGAUCCUCAGAACCUUCCAUCGAGUUCCUUCAAUGUCUCAGACCCAUAAAAUCGCGCUUGAUGGAGCUGAGGGAGAAAGGGUCGCUCUACGAGAUUGCAGGCGAUCCCGAACGGCGACUCGGGCGACGCCUGCCACAACCCUCGUGCCGCUGACGCGGAGCCGCCGCAGAUCGCAACCAGCAGCAGGACGCGGAGGUGGGACUGGGCGCCCGGAGCCGGGCCGCCUCCACGGGUGCAGUGCGAGCUCUGUUGCGAGCCUGAAGCGCAGGGACCUGUGUCGCGGGCUGCACGUGGUCGCCGGGAUCACCGCCGCGGCCGGUUUCUGCCUCGGUUCCUGGUGGAGGCUCAGGGGCGCAGGCGAGUGCAGAUUAGCGGGAGCUUUUAUUUAUUUUUAUUUCCUUGAA